UUCACACUGUCGAGAAAAGUCUCUAUCGAGGUUAAAGGUGCCUGUACCGCAAACCGACACAGGUGGGUGAGGAGAGUAUCCUAAGGCCAGCGAGAGAACUGUUGUUAAGGAACUCGGCAAAAUGACCCCGUAACUUCGGGAGAAGGGGUGCCUUCGAAAGAAGGCCGCAGAGAAUAGGCCCAAGCGACUGUUUACCAAAAACAUAGGUUUCUGCUAAGUCGCAAGACGAUGUAUAGGAGCUGACGCCUGCCCGGUGCUGGAAGGUUAAGGGGAUCUGUUAGAGCAAUCGAAGCAGUGAACUUAAGCCCCAGUAAACGGCAGCCGUAACAAUAACGGUCCUAAGGUAGCGAAAUUCCUUGUCGGGUAAGUUCCGGCCCGCACGAAAGGCGUAACGAUUUGGGCACUGUCUCAACAACAGACUCGGUGAAAUUGUAAUACCGGUGAAGAUGCCGGUUACCUGCGACAGGACGGAAAGACCCCAUGGAGCUUUACUGUAGCUUGACAUUGAGUCUCGGUGCUACAUGUACAGGAUAGGUGGGAGACUAUGAAGCAUGGACGUCAGUCUGUGUGGAGUCAUCCUUGGGAUACCACCCUUGUAGUACUGGGAUUCUAACCAGAGGCCAUGAAUCUGGUCUUGGGACACUGUCAGGUGGACAGUUUGACUGGGGCGGUCGCCUCCCAAAAAGUAACGGAGGCGCUCAAAGGUUCUCUCAGUACGGUCGGAAAUCGUACGAAGAGUGUAAAGGCAAAAGAGAGCUUGAUUGCAAGACAUACAGGUCGAGCAAGGACGAAAGUCGGACUUAGUGAUCCGGUGGUUCCGCAUGGAAGGGCCAUCGCUCAACGGAUAAAAGCUACCCUGGGGAUAACAGGCUGAUCUCCCCCAAGAGUCCACAUCGACGGGGAGGUUUGGCACCUCGAUGUCGGCUCAUCACAUCCUGGGGCUGUAGCAGGUCCCAAGGGUUGGGCUGUUCGCCCAUUAAAGUGGUACGCGAGCUGGGUUCAGAACGUCGUGAGACAGUUCGGUCCCUAUCCGUCGCAGGCGUAGGAAAUUUGAGGAGACCUGUCCUUAGUACGAGAGGACCGGGAUGGACGUACCGCUGGUGUACCAGUUGUUCUGCCAAGGGCAUGGCUGGGUAGCUAAGUACGGAAAGGAUAAGCGCUGAAAGCAUCUAAGCGCGAAGCCCACUUCAAGAUAAGAUUUCCCACCGCAAGGUUAAGAUCCCAGGAAGACUACCUGGUUGAUAGGUCAGAGGUGUAAGUGCAGUAAUGUAUUUAGCUUACUGAUACUAAUAGAUCGAGGACUUGAUC
RNAcentral lists this ribosomal RNA (1308 nucleotides) under metagenome. RNAcentral's name for it is "bacterial LSU rRNA". It matches the Rfam family "Bacterial large subunit ribosomal RNA", at positions 1599 to 2925 of the family's 2925-position model. The record is from RNAcentral.